This 1556-nucleotide long non-coding RNA is filed under the name Daucus carota (carrot). RNAcentral describes it as "long non-coding RNA (DCAR_LNC002873)". The record is from RNAcentral. Lineage: Eukaryota; Viridiplantae; Streptophyta; Magnoliopsida; Apiales; Apiaceae.
AGGAAUCUUUAUACUAUAAGGGCAGUGCCUUUUACAGAGAUUAGGUCGAUUCGCAGGCACACUUCUACCCUUGGGUGGCAAUACGUAAUUGUUGUUCUGUCAUCAGGUGUUGUUUUUACAUUGAUUCUGUACAUGCAAUCAUAUUAGUAUAUUAAUAAUUUUUAUGCAAAUACUCUCUGUUUGCUUCAUUUUCUUAUUUGUUAUUUUCCUUUGGCAGGUUUAGCUUUUCCUCCUCUUUAUUUUUAUAAUGGAGGAGUUCAAGAUUUUCUUGCUACAAUAAAAGAAACAUGUUCAUCUUGUCAGGUUUGUUAUAAUAACACCUAAUUGUUGAAUUUUUAUCUUUAAUGCAAUUAAAAAUUUGUUGAUGGUUUUAUAUGCUAAACCGGUAACAGAAGUACCUUAUGGAUACACUUAAAGAUAAGAUGACCCAUACAAUUGUGUUAAUGUUUGAUUGGUAAAAUCUGAAAUAUGGAAUGGGGCCUGUUUAUUUGCUCUAGAAAGUCAUUCUAGCUCUUCUAGGGAAGUCCACUGCUUGAAUGCUAAAAGUCUUUAUUUUGAUAAUGUACCAAUGACACUUGAAUGAUAUACAUGAAGAUUUAUCGAAACUGUCAUUGCUAGGACACUACAAAAAAUAUCUGUCGUAUCUCUUGGUAUACAAUACCUAAAUUUAUUUAUGAGUUAAUUAUCAAUUAGGUCACUUGCGUCGUUAGACAAUAUUUAAGUGGGUAAGUAGCUUUCUUUGUUAUCCAUUGUUUAUUUAUUCUAAGUUCAGUAAUUUAGUUGCUUAUAAGGAUUGAUAAUUUCAUCUUUGUUGUGCUGAUGUUCAAGUAAUUCACUUAUUAUAUUGGUAAGACUCUUAAUUUAUGUGAGUGUUUACUUUGCUUGAUGCACGAUUUUCGAGGCAUUUGGUUAAUGUCACUGUUUUGUGGGAAUUUAGGUUUUUUGCUAUGUUUUGUGAACUGUGUUGCAAGUAUUCCAGCAGCUGGAAAUUGAUUAUGUGAUCGGAGAGAGUCACAAAGAGUUGUUGCCUAAUUCUUCUGAUCCUGCUGCUAUUAUUCGAAUCUUUGGCGUCACAAGAGAAGGUAUCAUAUUGAUAUGCAUCUUUCUAGCUUCUCACAAAAGAGACCCAAUCAAAUCCUCAGGUCAACUCCUCCACCCCAUCUCUACUUACAUGCUCUCUAUAUCUCUAUUAUAUUUGCUACCUAUCUAUUGUUCAAAUUAGUGCUUUUAUGGGGUUUGUCCAACUCCAAUAUAUUGUAUGUUUAAUUUAAUUAUUGAUAGUAUCAAACUGAUAAUUGGGCUAUUUUUAUUAUUAAUGUUCAGAUUCUUGGGUUAUGUUUGUUUACAAUGUUAAUUGUUGAAUUUUUAUCUUUUAUGCAAUUAAAAAUUUGUUGAUGGUUUUAUAUGCUAAACCGGUAACAGAAGUACCUUAUGGAUACACUUAAAGAUAAGAUGACCCAUACAAUUGUGUUAAUGUUUGAUUGGUAAAAUCUGAAAUAUGGAAUGGGGCCUGUUUAUUUGCUCUAGAAAGUCAUUCUAGCUCUUCUAGGGAAGUC